This 558-nucleotide ribosomal RNA is filed under the name uncultured Gammaproteobacteria bacterium. RNAcentral describes it as "bacterial SSU rRNA". It matches the Rfam family "Bacterial small subunit ribosomal RNA", at positions 505 to 1064 of the family's 1533-position model. The record is from RNAcentral. Lineage: Bacteria; Pseudomonadati; Pseudomonadota; Gammaproteobacteria.
GUGCCAGCACCGCGGUAAUACGGAGGGUGCAAGCGUUAAUCGGAAUUACUGGGCGUAAAGCGCACGCAGGCGGUUUGUUAAGUCAGAUGUGAAAUCCCCGGGCUCAACCUGGGAACUGCAUCUGAUACUGGCAAGCUUGAGUCUCGUAGAGGGGGGUAGAAUUCCAGGUGUAGCGGUGAAAUGCGUAGAGAUCUGGAGGAAUACCGGUGGCGAAGGCGGCCCCCUGGACGAAGACUGACGCUCAGGUGCGAAAGCGUGGGGAGCAAACAGGAUUAGAUACCCUGGUAGUCCACGCCGUAAACGAUGUCGACUUGGAGGUUGUGCCCUUGAGGCGUGGCUUCCGGAGCUAACGCGUUAAGUCGACCGCCUGGGGAGUACGGCCGCAAGGUUAAAACUCAAAUGAAUUGACGGGGGCCCGCACAAGCGGUGGAGCAUGUGGUUUAAUUCGAUGCAACGCGAAGAACUUACCUGGUCUUGACAUCCACGGAAGUUUUCAGAGAUGAGAAUGUGCCUUCGGGAACCGUGAGACAGGUGCUGCAUGGCUGUCGUCAGCUCGUG